Populus euphratica (Euphrates poplar) is the source of this 638-nucleotide long non-coding RNA. RefSeq lists it as uncharacterized. The transcript is spliced from 2 exons. The record is from RefSeq and is a predicted model, not a curated record. Lineage: Eukaryota; Viridiplantae; Streptophyta; Magnoliopsida; Malpighiales; Salicaceae.
GGGCCAUCACCUCUGGAUCAGAAAUUUACCUUGCAAUAAGAAGCGAAUUCACAGAUCUGCAACUUUCCAUGAGUCGAAGCCCAGCUGUUGUUGUUCCAUCUCCAUCUCACUAGAAGCCCUUGGAGCUGGAUGGGGGUUAGUGGCACCCUUUGCUAAUACGGAAGGCAAUUUGGUCUGCACGCUCAAGGAUCUCCAGGCUGCAAGCUCUUUACCAAUAUGUCAACUAAAACAUGGUGACUAACUACACGUGACUUGGUGAGAAAAAUGCUCCCCUUUUUGCUGCAACUCUUCCCCUUCUAAUCUAAACUUAAGGUGAGUUGGAAAUCAAACUUCGGAGAGAUUCCGGGAUGUUCAGGCUGAUAAUCAUGAAUUCCAUGAAGAUUCCUUUUUCUUUAUGAUGUAUCAAGAAAGAAAAUUUUUCAUCAGGUUUCUGCUUGGAAGCUCAACGCCUCAGUUGUAAUCCUAGAUCUUCCUGAUAUCUCUGAAGAGUAGGCAUGUAAAGAUACAAAGUAAAUGUAUAAAUAAUGCAUAUCCUACAUGAUAUCUAAUAUUGUUAUUGCAGCUACCAUGCUUGGUAUCCGCUGACAAACAAUAAACAGGUCCAGUGAAAUCUAUAGGCUUUGUUCAAUUACUUCAAA